RNAcentral lists this ribosomal RNA (805 nucleotides) under uncultured Pelagibacteraceae bacterium. RNAcentral describes it as "bacterial SSU rRNA". It matches the Rfam family "Bacterial small subunit ribosomal RNA", at positions 35 to 888 of the family's 1533-position model. The record is from RNAcentral. Lineage: Bacteria; Pseudomonadati; Pseudomonadota; Alphaproteobacteria; Candidatus Pelagibacterales; Candidatus Pelagibacteraceae.
GCUGGCGGCACGCCUAACACAUGCAAGUCGAACGAAGUAGCAAUACUUAGUGGCAGACGGGUGAGUAACAUGUAGGUAUCUGCCCUUUGGCCUGGAAUAACACGAGGAAACUUGUGCUAAUACCGGAUAAGUCUUUACGGAGAAAGCUUUAUGCACCAUUGGAUGAGCCUGCACUUGAUUAGUUUGUUGGUGGGGUAAUGGCCUACCAAGACUGUGAUCAAUAGCUGAUUUGAGAGGAUGAUCAGCCACAUUGGGACUGAGACACGGCCCAAACUCCUACGGGAGGCAGCAGUGGGGAAUCUUGCACAAUGGAGGAAACUCUGAUGCAGCGAUGCCGCGUGAGUGAAGAAGGCCUUUGGGUUGUAAAGCUCUUUCGUCGGGGAAGAAAAUGACUGUACCCGAAUAAGAAGGUCCGGCUAACUUCGUGCCAGCAGCCGCGGUAAUACGAAGGGACCUAGCGUAGUUCGGAAUUACUGGGCUUAAAGAGUUCGUAGGUGGUUGAAAAAGUUAGUGGUGAAAUCCCAGAGCUUAACUCUGGAACUGCCAUUAAAACUUUUCAGCUAGAGUAUGAUAGAGGAAAGCAGAAUUUCUAGUGUAGAGGUGAAAUUCGUAGAUAUUAGAAAGAAUACCGAUUGCGAAGGCAGCUUUCUGGAUCAUUACUGACACUGAGGAACGAAAGCAUGGGUAGCGAAGAGGAUUAGAUACCCUCGUAGUCCAUGCCGUAAACGAUGUGUGUUAGACGUUGGAAAUUUAUUUUCAGUGUCGCAGGAAAACCGAUAAACACACCGCCUGGGGAGUACGACCG